Molecule: unclassified non-coding RNA, 249 nt
Filed under: rhizosphere metagenome
Description: partial ribosomal RNA internal transcribed spacer region
Source: RNAcentral
GUAGGUGAACCUGCGGAAGGAUCAUUAUUGUACAACGGAGGUGCAAGGGCUGUCGCUGACCCUCAAAGGUCGUGCACGCCCGAGCACGCUCUCACACAAUCCAUCUCACCCCUUUGUGCAUCACCGCGUGGGUCCCCCCCUUUGUGGGGGGGCUUGCGUUUUCACAUAAAACUCGAUACAGUGUAGAAUGUUCUUUUUUGCGGUCACACGCAAUCAAUACAACUUUCAACAACGGAUCUCUUGGCUCUC